UCAAGUGAAGAAGCGCAUACGGUGGAUGCCUUGGCAGUCAGAGGCGAUGAAAGACGUGGUAGCCUGCGAAAAGCUUCGGGGAGUCGGCAAACAGACUGUGAUCCGGAGAUGUCUGAAUGGGGGAACCCAGCCAUCAUAAGAUGGUUAUCUUACACUGAAUACAUAGGUGUAAGAGGCGAACCAGGGGAACUGAAACAUCUAAGUACCCUGAGGAAAAGAAAUCAACCGAGAUUCCCUUAGUAGUGGCGAGCGAACGGGGACCAGCCCUUAAGUUGUAUUGAGAUUAGCGGAACGCUCUGGAAAGUGCGGCCAUAGUGGGUGAUAGCCCUGUACGCGAAAAUCCCUUUGCAAUGAAAUCGAGUAGGACGGGGCACGAGAAACCUUGUCUGAAUAUGGGGGGACCAUCCUCCAAGGCUAAAUACUACUGACUGACCGAUAGUGAACCAGUACCGUGAGGGAAAGGCGAAAAGAACCGCGGAGAGCGGAGUGAAAUAGAUCCUGAAACCGUAUGCGUACAAGCAGUGGGAGCCCACGUUGUUGGGUGACUGCGUACCUUUUGUAUAAUGGGUCAGCGACUUAUUUUCAGUGGCGAGCUUAACCGAAUAGGGGAGGCGUAGCGAAAGCGAGUCUUAAUAGGGCGUCUAGUCGCUGGGAAUAGACCCGAAACCGGGCGAUCUAUCCAUGGGCAGGUUGAAGGUUGGGUAACACUAACUGGAGGACCGAACCGACUACCGUUGAAAAGUUAGCGGAUGACCUGUGGAUCGGAGUGAAAGGCUAAUCAAGCUCGGAGAUAGCUGGUUCUCCUCGAAAGCUAUUUAGGUAGCGCCUCAUGUAUCACUGUAGGGGGUAGAGCACUGUUUCGGCUAGGGGGUCAUCCCGACUUACCAAACCGAUGCAAACUCCGAAUACCUACAAGUGCCGAGCAUGGGAGACACACGGCGGGUGCUAACGUCCGUCGUGAAAAGGGAAACAACCCAGACCGUCAGCUAAGGUCCCAAAGUCAUGGUUAAGUGGGAAACGAUGUGGGAAGGCUUAGACAGCUAGGAGGUUGGCUUAGAAGCAGCCACCCUUUAAAGAAAGCGUAAUAGCUCACUAGUCGAGUCGGCCUGCGCGGAAGAUGUAACGGGGCUCAAACCAUGCACCGAAGCUACGGGUAUCACCUUUGGUGAUGCGGUAGAGGAGCGUUCUGUAAGCCUGUGAAGGUGAGUUGAGAAGCUUGCUGGAGGUAUCAGAAGUGCGAAUGCUGACAUGAGUAACGACAAUGGGUGUGAAAAACACCCACGCCGAAAGACCAAGGUUUCCUGCGCAACGUUAAUCGACGCAGGGUUAGUCGGUCCCUAAGGCGAGGCUGAAAAGCGUAGUCGAUGGAAAACAGGUUAAUAUUCCUGUACUUCUGGUUAUUGCGAUGGAGGGACGGAGAAGGCUAGGCCAGCCUGGCGUUGGUAGUCCAGGUUUAAGGUGGUAGGCUGAGAUCUUAGGUAAAUCCGGGAUCUUAAGGCCGAGAGCUGAUGACGAGUGUUCUUUUAGAACAUGAAGUGGUUGAUGCCAUGCUUCCAAGAAAAGCUUCUAAGCUUCAGGUAACCAGGAACCGUACCCCAAACCGACACAGGUGGUUGGGUAGAGAAUACCAAGGCGCUUGAGAGAACUCGGGUGAAGGAACUAGGCAAAAUGGCACCGUAACUUCGGGAGAAGGUGCGCCGGUGAGGGUGAAGCAUUUACUGCGUAAGCCCACGCCGGUCGAAGAUACCAGGCCGCUGCGACUGUUUAUUAAAAACACAGCACUCUGCAAACACGAAAGUGGACGUAUAGGGUGUGACGCCUGCCCGGUGCCGGAAGGUUAAUUGAUGGGGUUAGCGCAAGCGAAGCUCUUGAUCGAAGCCCCGGUAAACGGCGGCCGUAACUAUAACGGUCCUAAGGUAGCGAAAUUCCUUGUCGGGUAAGUUCCGACCUGCACGAAUGGCGUAACGAUGGCGGCGCUGUCUCCACCCGAGACUCAGUGAAAUUGAAAUCGCUGUGAAGAUGCAGUGUAUCCGCGGCUAGACGGAAAGACCCCGUGAACCUUUACUAUAGCUUUGCACUGGACUUUGAAUUUGCUUGUGUAGGAUAGGUGGGAGGCUUUGAAGCGUGGACGCCAGUCUGCGUGGAGCCAACCUUGAAAUACCACCCUGGCAACUUUGAGGUUCUAACUCAGGUCCGUUAUCCGGAUCGAGGACAGUGUAUGGUGGGUAGUUUGACUGGGGCGGUCUCCUCCUAAAGAGUAACGGAGGAGUACGAAGGUGCGCUCAGACCGGUCGGAAAUCGGUCGUAGAGUAUAAAGGCAAAAGCGCGCUUGACUGCGAGACAGACACGUCGAGCAGGUACGAAAGUAGGUCUUAGUGAUCCGGUGGUUCUGUAUGGAAGGGCCAUCGCUCAACGGAUAAAAGGUACUCCGGGGAUAACAGGCUGAUACCGCCCAAGAGUUCAUAUCGACGGCGGUGUUUGGCACCUCGAUGUCGGCUCAUCACAUCCUGGGGCUGAAGCCGGUCCCAAGGGUAUGGCUGUUCGCCAUUUAAAGUGGUACGCGAGCUGGGUUUAGAACGUCGUGAGACAGUUCGGUCCCUAUCUGCCGUGGACGUUUGAGAUUUGAGAGGGGCUGCUCCUAGUACGAGAGGACCGGAGUGGACGAACCUCUGGUGUUCCGGUUGUCACGCCAGUGGCAUUGCCGGGUAGCUAUGUUCGGAAAAGAUAACCGCUGAAAGCAUCUAAGCGGGAAACUUGCCUCAAGAUGAGAUCUCACUGGAACCUUGAGUUCCCUGAAGGGCCGUCGAAGACUACGACGUUGAUAGGUUGGGUGUGUAAGCGCUGUGAGGCGUUGAGCUAACCAAUACUAAUUGCCCGUGAGGCUUGACCAU
This 2891-nucleotide ribosomal RNA is filed under the name Pseudomonas syringae pv. antirrhini. Its description in RNAcentral is "bacterial LSU rRNA". It matches the Rfam family "Bacterial large subunit ribosomal RNA". The record is from RNAcentral. Lineage: Bacteria; Pseudomonadati; Pseudomonadota; Gammaproteobacteria; Pseudomonadales; Pseudomonadaceae.